GCCGCCAUUGCCGCAGCUCCGCCGAUGCCUGCGGACGUCCCAACCGCCUCCCCGCAGAUCUCGCCAACGGAAGCAAGUCCGUCCAACCUUGGCCGCCACGAUUUCCGGGUCACCGGGGACGCCAGCUGGAGAUGGUUUUCUCUGUUGCGUUCAGGUCUCGGGGUAUAUAACCCACCCUAGACACGCCCAGUUCUCCGUCGAAUCAGGGCAUCACCGCCUCAUCCAAAUCACCAUUAGCGCACUGGGCGGGAUGAAGGUUACCACCGCGGGCAUAUUGGUAGGGGCGCGGCCCUCGGGGAAUCCUUGAUGGCGUCCUCUAUCGAUGCGUGGGGGUUGGCUUGGGCAACUCAUGAAGAAUCUGGGCGUGGACGCAAUUGGAAAGUGGUGACCGCGAGCCGUGGGAUUUCCUCGUCGGGGUUCGUCGUCCGGCAUCAAGGGAGACGCUGCUCCGCUCAUCUUCGCCAUAUGCUUUCCCACCCCUGGCAUUCCGGGUGAGAACUACCCCUCUGAUUUCUCCUUUACCUCCGCAUCGCGUUGGACCAGUCGGCCAUGGAUUUGGGACUCGGGAUUACUGGUUCAUAGCGCACCGGCGGGAGCUCCGCCGUGGAGCUCAUCCCCGCCGCCUUGCUUCGACCUGGGUGUGGGCGCGCAUGUGCGAACCAUUGGAUUCGCACGGGAUGGCCGAGAUUAGAUGAGAGAGAACGAUUGGAUGUGUUAGAUCGUGGCCGCCCAUCUGGAUCUGACGGUGGGUAUUAUAGCACGAGGUUGGGAAUCUUCAGCCGAGGGAUUGAGAUCUGAUGACUGUGAUUCGGCACUGGUUCGAGAAGACCUAGUUCUAAUCUGGGGCGCACGUGUUAGAUCGAAUGGCCACGGUCAGCCCAUACCGCUUCGGCGUAUGAAUUUUGCGUAUGAGUCCUUGAACUUUAGGGGAAUGAAACCCGCAGUCCUCCGCGGGGUAAAUCUGAGUCUAGGGAAUACUUGCGCGCCAACCCCUGUCUUUUACAGAAUUUAAUGCUCAAUCCAGAGAACAGAAAAUCCAAGGAAUUCAUUUAGAAAAUACAUUUUUUUGUGUGAAAAUAAUUAUAGGAACUUAAGUAAUUCCUAGAAAAUACAUUUUGACUCCUUUUUAGUCCAUUCCAGUUCCUAUAAUUUUGUAAUAUUAUGGUUUAUCAUCUAGUACCUCUGUUUUGACAUGAAAGUCACAUUAAAAUUGAUAACCUAUUUAAUCUUGUACAAACACAUAUAAUCUUUAUAAAAUUCAUAACUUCUUCGUUUUUAUUCCGAUUUGACCCGUUCCAGUUGCUCUAGUUUCAUAUAAAUAUUUACUACGCAGUAGUAACAUUGAUUAUAUGAUAUCCCCUACUUUUAUAAUUAGGUAAUUAAUUGGAUUAAUCUAGGUCUAUUGGAUUAACUUCUUUAAUAUUAAAAUAGUAUUCUAAUUUUAUGGCUAUAAUUUAACUAGAUAAUCUUUAAUCAAUGACUUAGAUUAAAGUGGAGAUAAUGAUUUAUAGAAUAAUCUCUCAUAUGAUUUAUACUAACCAAUUUAUAAUAUAGUUUAAUAUUUUAACCACAUAGAUCUUCUAUAAAAUCAUAACUCCUUAACCAUGACUCCGAUCUUAGUGGUUCUCGUUCCUGCGAUCUCGUAGCAACGCGUAGAUCAUUAUUAUUCAGAUUGUACUUAUGUUUGGUGUGAUGUUAAUUUUGUCUAUACCAUGUUUGUUUGUAUUGCUACGACUAGCGCGAGGUUUUGAAGAUCUGAAGAAUCACCCUGGUAACUGGAAUCUCAAGUGCCAGGCAAGUUGUGCCCUUGAUCACUUCUUUUUACCUACUCAUGUUCUAAUUAAUCAUAAUGAUCUGCAUAGGUUAAUUUUGAUGGGACCCAAUAGGUUACCCUAGUUUGAUUAUCUUUAUACCUUGUUUACCACUGAACUUAUUGGGUAGUACUUGCUAGUGCUUUAUGUGGUUUUGGGUAUGAAGAUACAUUAUUCAUGAUUAUACUUUUGUCAUCCGUUGUUAUUUACUGUUCAUGAUAAGAUUAUUAUGUUAAUUGGAACAUGGAGAACCACCCGGGAAAACAGUGCUACCACAAGGGUUUAUGGACGCCCUUGGCUGACUAAUUAGGAAAGCUAGUGGAGGACUACCUUACCCGAAAGGGGCAAGGGCAGUAGGGGAGUGGUCAGUGUAGGGAGGCCCUCGGGAGGAUUUUGCUGUGAUGGCGGUCCUGCAAGGGAUUCCUACAUUGGAGCUUUCUAUAAACUGUAGCGGGUUUUCUGAAGCUAGUGGAACUUUGUAAAGGCCUCGUAGUGUUACCCUGCCUCGCCUCCUCGGUAGAGGUGUAUGGGAAGUCGCGAUCCCUUGGCAGAUGGGUAACAUGACUUGUGGGUAAAGAUGCGCAACCUCUGCAGAGUGUAAAACUGGUAUACUAGCCGUGCUCACGGUCAUGAGCAGCUCGGACACUCACAUGAUUAAAUUAUGGAACUUAAACUCAAUUUGUCAUAUGCAUUGCAUCGCAGGUGAGGUUGUUACUUUUGUUCUACUACUUAAUUGGGCUGGUAUUUACUUAUACUUAGUAAUUGCUAAUAAAAUUUUGACCAACUUUAAAAGCAAUGCUCAGCUCUAACCAUCCUCUUUGGUAAGCCUUACACUUCACAUGAGCUCCCACCUUUGGCGAGUUCAUGCACAUUAUUCCCCACAACUUGUUGAGCGAUGAACGUAUGUGAGCUCACUCUUGCUGUCUCACACCCCCCCCACACACAGGUCAAGAACAGGUACCGCAGGAUGAGGCGCUUGGAGGAUGCUGCGAUGUGUUCGUGAGAGGUCUAGGUCGUCGUCUCCCAGUCAACUUUGGGUUGCUGGACCGUUGUCUCCUUAUAAUGUAAUUAUCUAUUUAUUUUGUAUAGAACUCCUGUUAUGUAGUAAAGAUGUGACAUUCGAUCCUGUGCCAUGAUUCAUCAUAUGUGUGAGACUUGGUCCCAACACACCUGGUGAUUAUGUUCGCGCCCGGGCUUUGGACCCCUAAAACCCGGGUGUGACAGAAGUGGUAUCAGAGGAAUGUUGACUGUAGGACGUAACCUAGAUAGAACUGGACAACCAUUGUCUACUUACCUUUGCUACUCUGAUUCUUUCUAAACUUUUCUUAAUCUUUUCUCAUCUAUUUCCGUGUUACUCUGAUUAUUCAUACCUUUUCUUUCUAAUGACAAAUGUGGAUUUCACACUUUGAAAUCAUGUGCCUAAAGUGACCUUUAGGACUAGGAGACCUAAUCCUAGGAACAAAAACAAAACUAUUUUUUUAAGUAUCUAUAUACUUGAAUGUUUGUUCUUAUGAUACAUGUUUGAUUUGGAUCUUUGAUUGAGUGUGAUGAGUUGUGGAGUAAUGUCCACAAUUACAUCUGCAUAUACAUAUAAGAAAAAAAUGCUUAUAAAAAUAACUAGAUAAACUAGAUUAUCCCUCAUUAAAGUAUUUAGCCUAAACAAUAUCCAUCUUAUCUUGAAAGAUUCUAUCUAUCCUCAUAGAUCCAUCUUGUCUUAAAAGAUACUCUAUUACCUUAGUAGAUCCAUCUUAUCUUAAAAAAGAUUUAUCUUAUCCUAAUAGAUCUAUCUGACCUCAAGAGAUUCUACCUUAUCCUUAUGGAUUCAUCUUACCUCAAUAAGCAUAUUUAUCCCACGCUAGUGUAACAACCAUGAUCUAGCCUAAAAUAAAUAAGAUCUUAUCUAGUCAAACUAGUCACACCAAUCUAACCUAGAUCUGAUCUAAUCUAAAGUGAUUUAUCAAACAUGUUAGAUAAUACUGAUGAAAUAGAUUAGACUCUACUCCUAUAGAACGGGUCUUAACUUAGUUCACCCUGCACUAAAUUAAGAAUGACAGAUCGACUUGGCCAUAUGCAACUACCUUAACCAUCCAAUAGUUGCAUAACCCCACAAUUUUAACCUAGCAAGAGAUUCUAACCUACCUACACCAUACAAUCCAUCCUACUCACAUAUGUCCUAGCCAUAUGUCCUUAACUCGGAUGACAACUCCAAGAAAUAAAGGCCAAAAGAAGACCAACCAUGUCAAAGAAGGAUAAGCAUCAACACAAGACUUCAAAGAUCAAGUUGAAUCGCCAGCUGAAUCAAGAUCCACAGUUCAGGAUGAAGUCUUUCCUUAUUAUACUCUUCCCUGCCACAACCUAUUAUCUAUACUUGCCAUAAUCGUACCUCAUCUGACCUAAUAGAUGGCUAGACGUAUAUGUCUAUAUUUUCCAAAUCAUCUACUAGCUACUAUAAAAAAACAUGAAACAAAACUUUUGAUUCCUAAACCAAACUGGUUGCAUCCCUUUUCUUCAAAUCUCGAGGACGAGAUUAUUUUUAAGGGGGUAGGAUUUGUAAUACUCAAAAUUGUAUACAAGGAAUAUAUAGUGAUUUCUUCAUUUUAUGUGCCUCAUUUGCAUCAUAAGAAAAGAGCCCACACACCAUUUAGAGAUUAAGUCAAACAAAUGAUAAAAAAAUGCAUCAUGCUGGAGUUUAUAUGUUUGUGCAUUAAAUGAAAUAAUAAUGCUAAUGGUAAUAAGAUAAUAAUAACUAGAAAUUGGACUAAACCCUAAAUUGAAAAUUAGGGUUUGAAGGUAAGAAGAGAAAUGAUAUGAAAAAUAUAAAUAAUAUAAAUAUAUUUCUAAAAUUUGUAUUUUUCAUUCCAUAAUAUGAUUUGAUAACAAAUUUGCACAAGGUUUGAAACUAAAUUCACAUUCAAAUUUAAACCUAGAAGAAAAGAGAAAGGAAAAUGAAUAAAUAAAAAGAAAAAGAUAAAACCUCAGAUGGGCCAGCAACUACCCCAUUCCGGCCCAGCUAGCACUUUCCUCUCCCCACAGCCCACACUUCCGCCUACUGACCGGGUGGGCCCGCUUCGUCAGGCGCCCUCGCGCACGGACCACGCUCGACCAUUCUCUCGCCCGCGCUCCUUCUCACUGCCGGGGCGCCAGCCAGCUUGCGCACUCAAUGCCGGGUGGGGCCCACCUGUCGGGUCCUCUUCCCCGUUGAACCGGAAGCCGCCUGGGUGCUGGGUUGUUGAGAAUCUGCCUGAACUCCGGACCGACCGCCGCCAGACCUGGGGAUCCUCAGCCGGCGCUCGUAAAUGAUCCGGGGGGGCAUCGCAUGUGGCCGCGUGAAGUGCGGGGUCUCCUUGACCGAAUCGCCGCCAUUGCCGCAGCUCCGCCGAUGCCUGCGGACGUCCCAACCGCCUCCCCGCAGAUCUCGCCAACGGAAGCAAGUCCGUCCAACCUUGGCCGCCACGAUUUCCGGGUCACCGGGGACGCCAGCUGGAGAUGGUUUUCUCUGUUGCGUUCAGGUCUCGGGGUAUAUAACCCACCCUAGACACGCCCAGUUCUCCGUCGAAUCAGGGCAUCACCGCCUCAUCCAAAUCACCAUUAGCGCACUGGGCGGGAUGAAGGUUACCACCGCGGGCAUAUUGGUAGGGGCGCGGCCCUCGGGGAAUCCUUGAUGGCGUCCUCUAUCGAUGCGUGGGGGUUGGCUUGGGCAACUCACGAAGAAUCUGGGCGUGGACGCAAUUGGAAAGUGGUGACCGCGAGCCGUGGGAUUUCCUCGUCGGGGUUCGUCGUCCGGCAUCAAGGGAGACGCUGCUCCGCUCAUCUUCGCCAUAUGCUUUCCCACCCCUGGCAUUCCGGGUG
Molecule: long non-coding RNA, 5660 nt
Filed under: Zea mays
Lineage: Eukaryota; Viridiplantae; Streptophyta; Magnoliopsida; Poales; Poaceae
Description: long non-coding RNA (ZMAY_LNC003057)
Source: RNAcentral